RNAcentral lists this ribosomal RNA (263 nucleotides) under uncultured archaeon. RNAcentral's name for it is "partial 16S ribosomal RNA". It matches the Rfam family "Archaeal small subunit ribosomal RNA", at positions 722 to 982 of the family's 1478-position model. The record is from RNAcentral.
AGACGUCUACAUUAGAACCCGCGUAGUCCCAGCCGUAAACUGUGCGCGUUAGGUGUAUCGGUGACCACGAGUCACCGAGGUGCCGAAGGGAAACCGUGAAACGUGCCGCCUGGGAAGUACGGUCGCAAGGCUGAAACUUAAAGGAAUUGGCGGGGAGCACCACAACGGGUGGAGCCUGCGGUUUAAUUGGACUCAACGCCGGGAAGCUCACCGGAUAAGACAGCGGAAUGAUUGCCGGGCUGAAGACUCUGCAUGACUAGCUG